This 1372-nucleotide ribosomal RNA is filed under the name uncultured bacterium. RNAcentral's name for it is "bacterial SSU rRNA". It matches the Rfam family "Bacterial small subunit ribosomal RNA", at positions 28 to 1381 of the family's 1533-position model. The record is from RNAcentral.
GAUAAACGCUGGCGGCGUGCCUAAUACAUGCAAGUCGAGCGAACGGACGAGAAGCUUGCUUCUCUGAUGUUAGCGGCGGACGGGUGAGUAACACGUGGAUAACCUACCUAUAAGACUGGGAUAACUUCGGGAAACCGGAGCUAAUACCGGAUAAUAUUUUGAACCGCAUGGUUCAAAAGUGAAAGACGGUCUUGCUGUCACUUAUAGGUGGAUCCGCGCUGCAUUAGCUAGUUGGUAAGGUAACGGCUUACCAAGGCAACGAUGCAUAGCCGACCUGAGAGGGUGAUCGGCCACACUGGAACUGAGACACGGUCCAGACUCCUACGGGAGGCAGCAGUAGGGAAUCUUCCGCAAUGGGCGAAAGCCUGACGGAGCAACGCCGCGUGAGUGAUGAAGGUCUUCGGAUCGUAAAACUCUGUUAUUAGGGAAGAACAUAUGUGUAAGUAACUGUGCACAUCUUGACGGUACCUAAUCAGAAAGCCACGGCUAACUACGUGCCAGCAGCCGCGGUAAUACGUAGGUGGCAAGCGUUAUCCGGAAUUAUUGGGCGUAAAGCGCGCGUAGGCGGUUUUUUAAGUCUGAUGUGAAAGCCCACGGCUCAACCGUGGAGGGUCAUUGGAAACUGGAAAACUUGAGUGCAGAAGAGGAAAGUGGAAUUCCAUGUGUAGCGGUGAAAUGCGCAGAGAUAUGGAGGAACACCAGUGGCGAAGGCGACUUUCUGGUCUGUAACUGACGCUGAUGUGCGAAAGCGUGGGGAUCAAACAGGAUUAGAUACCCUGGUAGUCCACGCCGUAAACGAUGAGUGCUAAGUGUUAGGGGGUUUCCGCCCCUUAGUGCUGCAGCUAACGCAUUAAGCACUCCGCCUGGGGAGUACGACCGCAAGGUUGAAACUCAAAGGAAUUGACGGGGACCCGCACAAGCGGUGGAGCAUGUGGUUUAAUUCGAAGCAACGCGAAGAACCUUACCAAAUCUUGACAUCCUUUGACAACUCUAGAGAUAGAGCCUUCCCCUUCGGGGGACAAAGUGACAGGUGGUGCAUGGUUGUCGUCAGCUCGUGUCGUGAGAUGUUGGGUUAAGUCCCGCAACGAGCGCAACCCUUAAGCUUAGUUGCCAUCAUUAAGUUGGGCACUCUAAGUUGACUGCCGGUGACAAACCGGAGGAAGGUGGGGAUGACGUCAAAUCAUCAUGCCCCUUAUGAUUUGGGCUACACACGUGCUACAAUGGACAAUACAAAGGGCAGCGAAACCGCGAGGUCAAGCAAAUCCCAUAAAGUUGUUCUCAGUUCGGAUUGUAGUCUGCAACUCGACUACAUGAAGCUGGAAUCGCUAGUAAUCGUAGAUCAGCAUGCUACGGUGAAUACGUUCCCGGGUCU